GUCACUGCUGCGCCCUGCAUUCUUCUCCGAAUUGCAGAGCUGAUUGAACUUCUGGUGCGAUUUAAUCCAAUGUUUAGUUUGCUUGUACGGAGUAUUUGCAUGUUCUAACAGUGACGGUCAUGUCUUGUUGCCUUGCCUUCCUGCAGCAGCGGCAGCGUAUGGAGGACGAGGUGGCGGUCAAGCUGAGGAGGUUGGAGCGCCACCGCGCCGCGGCGUUGGCGAGCCACGCGCUCGCUCCUCUUUCCGCAUGGAGGAUCACCUCUCGUUUCUCCUUCCCUGCCGCUUCUUCUCCGUCCAGUUGGGUUGAGGAAUCAUAAGAGCUGAUGAAGCGUGCACUGAGCUUUCCUUUGGAGCAAGGAGCUUUCCAUUUUUUAGUAUGUUACUCCUUAAUUCCUUUGUAAACCUGCGCAUUGAUUAAUCAAGUGUGCUUCUACAUGUUGUUAUCUUUGAUUGGUUUGUUUUUUUAUUAUUC
This 472-nucleotide long non-coding RNA is filed under the name Setaria viridis. RNAcentral's name for it is "long non-coding RNA (SVIR_LNC010155)". The record is from RNAcentral. Lineage: Eukaryota; Viridiplantae; Streptophyta; Magnoliopsida; Poales; Poaceae.